CCUGGUGUGCUCUGGUCGUUGGGGUCAUGAGGGGUCGGACAUGACUUAACAACUAAACAAGAAAGCUCAUCCUCCAGUCAGAAGGCGGGGUCUUCCUACAAUAGUUUACACUUACGACUAUAAGGACGGGGUGGCUACGACAACGCCUGCUCCAAGCGCAACGUCACUGUUGAACUCCGAUCCCGGAUUUCUAGAGAAACGGGGGGGAGGUAAGAAGAAGACGAGUGUUUAGAGUCUGGGGGAUGUCCAGACUUAACGGGAGACGUCGCGUGGGGUCCGCCUUAAAAGUCAGGCAGUGGAGUGAACGGCCCGUCUCGGGUCUUGAGAAAGCCGUUACAGGGUCCUACGGAGAGCGACAGACACAGAAAGGGAGUGAGAGCGGCCUAGAGGGACGAGGCGGCGCAAUGGCGAGGAGCGCAGGUAGCAGCAGAAGUUUAGAGUUAAUCCAGUAAAAUUGAUGAGUCGGCCCAGAAUUGGCAGAGAAGUACUUUCCCUCACCACUCAAAGCAUGAUGAGGUGAGGAUAUUUCCUGCCAGAAACUUUUACUAUUAUUAUUCUUAUUGCAUUUGUUCCUGUGUGAUUUUCCUAUUGAAACGUAAAACUGUCCUGGGAAAAGUAAAGUGGCAAUACAGGAGCAGUGUAGAAGGUGUAUUAUGCAAACUCUGCAAGCGUAUCAAAUCAGUUUUUGAUAUUUUUUAAAACAAAACUUGGCCGGGUAGCUCAGUGAGUUAGGCAUCCGGCAGUGGAGCCAAACGUUGGGAGUUCAAUGUACAUUAUUCGCGAAGGCUUUCACGGCCGGGAUCUGAUGGUUGUUGUGGGUUUUUCGGGCUUUUUGGCCGUGUUCUGAAGGUUGUUCUUCCUAACAUUUCGCCAGUCUCUGUGGCCGGCGUCUUCAGAGGACAGCACUCUGUGCUGCAGAGUGCAGAGUACUGUCCUCUGAAGAUGCUGUCCUCUGAAGAUGCCAGCCACAGAGACUCUCCCCAACCACGUUGGGAGUUCAGUUUCCCACUGUAAAUCUCAGAAGAGCCAGCCAAAGUAGCCAUGGGUACUCAGCACAGUCCUGCAGCACCCCCAGAAGAAGGGAAUGGUAAACCACUUGGAGUACUUUCUACCUAGAAAACAGUGUUAAGGGUCACCAUGUCAUAUUUGACUUGACAGCACACAAUUAUUGUUAUAAAACAAAACUUAAGAUGUUUUGGGUUGGGCAGCUGUUUAAGAGGAGAAGGCAGAUUUGUGCAGAAUUGGUCCACCAGUUGCUGUUACUUCAUCGCUUGAGAAUGAGGUACAUGUUUCUGGGAAGGGAUAUCAGAGGGCUGUUGCCUUUAUUUUAAAACAUGGUUAAUAGAACUACAGCAAUAAGUGGUGAAGUGGAAUUCAUUUGGGAAGACAUGGCUUUUCUAAAGGGCAUUCUUUGGUUGUAGUGGACUUUGCAGUAUGGGAGAUGUGAUAGUAUAGCCCAGUGUGUAGUACAUUUGUUUUUAUUUAGAGAUCAGUGAUUGUGUCCCUACUCUGAGUACUCUUAUAACUUACCAGGAUGUGCAUGCAGUUCAGCCAGCAUACUACAGGUUGGGAAUGAGGAUAAAUUUGUUGCUCAAGUCUCUUAAUACUUAACAAAUACCAAAGAUAUUGAACAUUUUGUCAUAACAACCAAACUGGAAAAUAAACAGCUUUCUACAGCUGGGUUGAUGUGUGUU
This 1694-nucleotide long non-coding RNA is filed under the name Pogona vitticeps (central bearded dragon). RNAcentral's name for it is "lncRNA (ENSPVIG00000023603.1)". Lineage: Eukaryota; Metazoa; Chordata; Lepidosauria; Squamata; Agamidae. The record is from RNAcentral.